Molecule: long non-coding RNA, 242 nt
Filed under: Solanum tuberosum (potato)
Lineage: Eukaryota; Viridiplantae; Streptophyta; Magnoliopsida; Solanales; Solanaceae
Description: long non-coding RNA (STUB_LNC008426)
Source: RNAcentral
GUUACACAUUGCAUCACGCAGCCUAUGAACUUGAGAGGAAACCCCAAUGUUGACAUUAUUUGUUCUAAAUAUUUUCAAUCAAUAGUAUCAUAAGCUUUUUGGAUCUCCACCUUUAUCAUACAUCUGGGUGAGAUAUUCUUCCUGUUAUAGGCCUUGACUAGUUCAUGUGCAAGAAUAAUGUUAUCUGCCACUUUUCUCCCAGGUACAAAUCCAGCUUGCGUUUCUGAGAUCACAGUUGAUAU